This is a long non-coding RNA of Daphnia pulex (common water flea), 982 nucleotides long. RefSeq lists it as uncharacterized. The transcript is spliced from 4 exons. The record is from RefSeq and is a predicted model, not a curated record. Lineage: Eukaryota; Metazoa; Arthropoda; Branchiopoda; Diplostraca; Daphniidae.
AAAAGAUCGUCUGCUACUGCUACCUGCUGAAGUGCUAACUAUUUCAAAAAUGUGCUUCCAAGAAUGUGCAAGGCGAGUAGGCCCUACUGCAGGCUGCAGAUUUUCGUGAACCACGUGAAUCCAACUGAAAUGAGCUAACAAUUGAAAUUCGGAACGUUCCAUUAAUUGCUUUGAUCACGUUGCUCGUGAUGUUGCAUACUGUUUGCAAUCCUGGAUUUAGUUCUGAAACGGAACUAGAAUCCAGAUUUGUUUAAUGGAUCGUGUCAUUACUACAACAGGACAUCAAUUUCUGAUUCUGGCCCUCUCUUAAAUCUGUAUCAUCCUUCAUUUGAUGUCCUCGUGUACGUUCAUGCGAGUGUGAAGGUAUUCACGAGGACACGAAAAUCGGUUUCCUGUUCACUUCGUCAAUUCAGUUCAGGUGCCAGUUGACUUCUGCCACAGUCUUGGAAAUUACCCAUCAUUGGAGGGACGAACAUCCUGCUUUCAAGGUCAAUCAUUUUUAUUACUGUCACUAUAGAAUGGGGUUUAAGAUGAUGGAGGAAAUAAAAAGUUAAUCAGCCCUCCGUGCCAUAUUAUAUUGUUCGAUGGUUUGAAAGGGUAUUUUCGGAGAAUCUGUUCAGCAGUUAGAUCAGUUAACUGUCUUUUCAAUACCGUUCUAUAUUCUAUUUUCAAUUUUGGCAAAUUACCUGCGCGUUUGUCUCCGAUGGCUUCGGUUUGUGUUCUUUUUUGAGUAGCAAAGUGAAUCGGAACUUUUGUGAACUCCCACAUUUUCUCUCUGUGCCAAAACGGAAAGUAAUUUUCAAGUUUCAUUUUCUAUUUUGUGUUUGCAAUCACGUAAUUGUAUCGCAACAUUGGAUUAGUAAUCAUUUCCGCCUUUGUUUAACCACCUCCUGAAAACUUUUUACCUUUUGUCUUGGAAAUUCUGCGUUGUUUUUGAUUGUUCGAUUCAAUUCAAAUGAAAUGAAUGAUUACCGUAGGCCUA